UGAAAGGGUUGCAGAUGCCUGUUCCCUGGCAUCCUCUUGUGCGAUGCCAGGUGGAGUCUCCCUUCCCCCUCUUUCCUGGUCCCGCUCAAUUUCCUAGCCACUUGUCCACCAAGAAGAAAUUUUCCUGGGUCAAAAAUAUUUCCAGGCGAUUUUGUCCCGGUCACAUGAGAUGUGUAGAUUGCACGCACAUAUCUAGCCUUUCCCCUCAGGAGCUAGCCUAGGUCUCCGCAGUUUCCUACAGAAAUCCACUCUCUUCCGCUCAAAAAUAAAUCCGCUAAUCGCAUCCCUUAUCACCACCGUCCCAUUUACUGAGAAAUCUUACAUUUCGAUAGCUCCCAAAAUUCACUAAGCUUGGGCACUUGGCUAUAACUUUGCAUCCCUGAAAAUAAAUUAGAAAAUUUGCCUCCAGUAAGCAUGCAAGAACGAUGGCAGGGCUUUGAGACUGCCACUUGUUUGGCGGGUGACAGGGUCCGCUGGGGGCAGAGUCGUUUACACACAAGUGAGUGGCUCUGUAAUGAGCAGGAGAAACAGUCAAGUCCCAUCUGGGACCUGUCGCAUCAGGAGAAUAUCUGUAGUCACCUAUUCCGCCCGGGGCCCCAAAUGCACCACCAGCAGUGUCGCCCCGUUAUUUUCAUUGUCUCAGGUGUCCAGAGGAUGAUGAGCAGGUCUUUGAAGUUGUUAGUGGGAUUAAUGGGUACAGCAAACUGGGCUAGACAUCUGGUUUGAAUUAGGAAAAAGUAUUGAUUAAUCUUUGAGAGGUGUCCCCAAAGCAGAACCUUCCCCCUCCUCUUCCAGUCCCCCUGCUUAAGCCUCACUAUCUUCUUUUCUUGUAAGUCAUGCUGUAGAAUAGUGGCUUCUCAAAAACAUCCGUGUGAAAGAUCGAAUUGUUUUCUAUUGCUUAGAGGUGGGGUGGAGUGGGGGUUGAUCAGGAAUUCUGAGAUUUGUAAGCGCUGCUUUCUUUAACGGAAAUUGAGCUCUAUUUUGAGGGAAAUUAGUUUUGCAGACUUCGUUUAAAAAAAAAAAAAAAACUAAAACUUUUGUUCACCAGCUGCUCAGCUUUUCAGUCUGGGUCUGAGCUGAAACCUGCUGCAAGUCUUUGACGGUACCAAAUUACAUAUAUCUGUCAAAAUGAUGUAGGACCUAAAGUGUCUCUGUAAGUUGAUCCUCUUGACCCCAUGAUUAGGAGCUUCACAAUGUGAUACCACACCUGGAAACCUCCAGAACAAGAUCUCAAGGAAACACAGGAAAUUCCUGAAACAGCAAAACCCCCUAUGUGAAGACGCCUGUUAUUCCUUUGUGCAUCAGGAGCAUCACUGUUAAUUAACUGUUGAUACACUUAAAAGAGCUUGGUUGGCAAUGUCCUUUUUGAAAAAAGAAGAGCCAGGUAUGUUAUUCAGGAUGAACUAGACAAUGCUGUCACAAGUUUACCUCUACGUCUUAUUGCCUUGGAAAAAUUGCCUGCAUAUUGUGGCACAAGAUGGUUGGCUCUCCAGGCAGCAGUUGGCAUUGUGAAUCAGUCUUCUCAGCAUGUAUCUACAAGAUCCCACGGCAGGGGAAAAAAGAGGUGGAGGGUCACAUGCCUGGUGUUACAUACUUCAAGGCAGAGGUGGUAGGUGCCAUUUCUGCUCACAGCUCAUGGACCAGAACAAAGCCAUGCAUACCUGCGAGAGGACCAGAAAAUAUUCUGAAGCACAUGGCUAUUUGGUGAGCAGUAAAUGUUUCUGUUACAACAGGUUUUGACAAACUUCAAAUGUACUCCUACUAGGCCUACUUCACACCACUAAACUCUAUACUUCUUAUUUCUUGAUGGCAUCUUAUGUUGAUGUUUUCUGUCAUAGUGUUUGGCACAAAAUGAGAGCUCAAUACAUAUACUUAAUAGUGCAUUUAGAUCUAAGAGUUUCACUUUACACAAGAUUUUAGUACCCGUGUAGCGUUGGGCCACAUCAGGAAAAUGUAACUGCUUCUACAACUGCAAAGAAAAAUUAACUAAUUAUAUGCUCGUCGCAGCUUCAGGUUUUUGUUUUGCUUUGUGUUUUGUUUGCUUGCUUCUUUUUGGUUUAUAAUUGUUGCUUUGUUUUUUGCCCUUGAGCAGAGGUUCAUUUCUAAUUUUCACUGGAAUUAGAACAACAGUUGUGUCCAUAUGCAAUGACAGUGUUUCAGAUUCUUUGAGGAUUUGCCCACAGUGUCUGCAGUCGUAUUGUGACAGCAGUUGUGAUGCCAAUCUCUGUAAAUCAGACUUAUUCCCAGUGAGACAUUAUAUAUUUUUGCAGCCAAUACUAUUUAUUUUAUAGUGAUUUAUAGCAUUGUCUCUGAAGAGGAUACUUUGGUUUGUGUCUUGUUUUUGUCAGUUUUCCACACUUUGAUUGUGGCCAGGUUAAUUAAUAUUUUUGUGUCUAGGUUUCCUCAUCUCUAAAAAAAACUAUGUUUAUUUCUAUAGCUUCAUGUUGACAAAUUAUAUAAACUAUGUUACUCAACUGGCAAGUAAAUUGAUGUAUAGUAUAUUUAUAAAUGAUAGAUACUAUCUUUAUGUUAAUUUUUAUUAUCAUCAUUAUCAUCAAUUUUCAGGUCCAUGUUCUAAAAAGAAGGCACACUGUCUAAAACAAGCUUUGUAAGAAAAUUUUGAAGUAUUUACAUAUAUCUAACCAUUCAUUCCACCUUUUCUCCCAAAUAACACUCUAAUACCUUGAGACAUCUUGUCUAGAGCAAGAUUUCAUAAAUGCUUGUGAGGCAGGAUAGUAGGGUCUGGAGACAGGAAACCUAAAGCCAAUUCACACUGACUUCCUAGUACUAAAUCUAAAGGAAAACCCCAACUUUCCUCACCCAAGUAACAAAAGGAUCAGAGGCUAUACUCCCUUUGCAACCUGCCGCCUUUCUGCCUGGAAGAUGAAAAAUGAAACGUACCUCUGAUUGGUCCCCUCCCGCGACCAGUCAGACUGGUCGCCGAUCACUGCUUCAUUUACAUAGGGUGUAAACCGAAUAACCAAUGGGAAACCUCUAGAGGGUAUUUAAACCCCAGAAAAUUCUGUAACCAGUGGUCUCCAGCAGGUUGCUCAAUCUUGCUCCCACUCUGUGGGAUGUACUUUUGUUUCAAUAACUCUGUGCUCUUCCUCCGUGGUUUUGUUUGUGCUUUUUGUCCAAAAUGCCAGGAACCUGGACACUCUCCACUGGUAACACUUGUUAAUCAAAUAAAGAAUAUGCUAAAGAUAAA
This is a non-coding RNA of Macaca mulatta (Rhesus monkey), 3208 nucleotides long. The record is from RefSeq and is a predicted model, not a curated record. NCBI's taxonomy places the organism in Eukaryota, Metazoa, Chordata, Mammalia, Primates, Cercopithecidae.